Cygnus olor (mute swan) is the source of this 3603-nucleotide long non-coding RNA. RefSeq lists it as uncharacterized. The record is from RefSeq and is a predicted model, not a curated record. Lineage: Eukaryota; Metazoa; Chordata; Aves; Anseriformes; Anatidae. The transcript has 3 exons.
UCUGUGAGUUGACAGAUGCAAGAAAAUGUAUUAUCAGGUACAUAGAUGUUUCUCAAAUGCAGUUUAUUAAUUACUGUCAUUCAUCCAAAUAAUAGAGGCUUUUGUGGUAGUUCCUUUGCCGUUAGUAUGCAAGGCUAUUCUUUCCAUUUCUAUCUCAGCACCUUGACACAGUAAGAACUAGCAAGUUUAGAAUUAUCUUCAGGUGAAUUGCAACUUUUUGGGGAAAUUUCUGUAAAAAAAGUACCUAUAAUGCAUGAAAAACAUGGUAUCUUUUAUUAAUGCUUUCACAAAAAGAGUAAUUAACAUCUGUUACGACAAAGCUGUUAUGAAAAAACAUUACAGAAAAACAUUAAAACGACAAACUACUCUCUAGAAAAGUCACAGGUAAGUAUUAUAAAUGAAUUUCUUGUAUGUUACAAAACUUUCGGACUGUUUAUAUGGACAAAGUAAGUAUAUAUUUGUUUGCGAUGCUGAAGUCGAAAGAAGUUAGUGAAGUGAAAAAGAUAAAGCAGUAGAGGAAGACAUUAUUUUGACUUUUGAAAAAGUAGUGACAGAUGAAAAGGCAUAUGAGGCCAAGGGUUAAUUAAAAGAUUCCAACCGUAUCUAUAAGUUGAUCUGUGAAGAAGUUGAAUGGAUUCCCAUACAUUUGUGUAUUCGCAGCGAAUAAUUUCGUCGUAUUACUGGAAGGUGGGGAUUUUAUUUAUUGUUUUGCCAAAAGCACGCACACACAAGAGAGAGAUUUCUGCUUGAAUUAAAAAGCAACUUGGCUACCAUCUCUUACCAACACUUGCAUUUUUGUACUGAAGCUGUAUGCUUAAUACUGCCUCUGACACUGCUCUCCAUCCUUCUUACUGAGUUCAGUAAGCCCAGACCAAGCUAAAAGCGUGGGCUCCCUCUGCUGGCUCCGGUGGUGCUCCGAGCCCUUCUCAGGAUGCUCAGCAGGCGCUCUGCACAAAACGACUGGGAAGAAAUGAGCUGCAGCUUAUUUUAAACAAUUAAAGCGGGAGGUAAAAAUGUAAUCUAGCCCUUUAAAUGCAGCCGCUGCGUAAAACUUGCCUUUGAAAUGCCCAGACACUCUGAAAUAGUAAUAGUUUUAUGGCAAAACAGCAACCGACAGACCUCAAAAGAGGUUUUUACAUUCUGUGACUUCACACACCAAAAGAGAUUGGUGUAUGUAAAGAAGUGAGGAUGCAGUCCAACCGAUUCUAACUUGUGUAAAACUCACCAGAAAGCUAAUAUCCCAUCCUUAACUUAUUUUUAGCUAUUUCUAGACUCGGGGGCAUAACUUAUUUCAAGAGCCUUUGAUUUCUUUUCAAAUCCUCAACUGGAUAAGGCUCUGAGAAACCUGACCUGAAGCUGGUCCUGCCCUGAGCUGGAUGUUGAACCAGAUUUCUUCUGUAAGCCCUCCCCACUCCCAACAUACAUUGUUCUGUAUUUUUAUCCUAGAUGUGAGAGGAAGGUUAGAGUUACAACAAAGAGUUUGUAUAAUAUAGCCUUUAACCCAAUGUUCAUCUUGAAAAGCCCUUCAGUGUAGAAAGUAGCAUUCUACCUGCAUAAAGAGAGGGGCUUGGAUGCACUUUCUGCACAGUAACCCUUGCUUACCAGAAGGUCUUUGCAAGAGGAGAGGUAUAAUACAGGUGCAGAGGACCAGGCUGCAGAUUAGUGAGCUGCUUUGUCAUUAAGGAAAGUGCCUGCAUGUCCUCUGCACCAACUAGCAGCUAUUAAUAAAGCUGUGGAAAACUAUCUACAGUUCAUUUAAGAAGGAAUCCUAGACCCUGUGUUUUAGACUGAGGGUUCAGCAAAUAGUCUCUGGCAUUCCUGUACAAUGAGGAAAGGCUGCACAGACUGUAUGACAGUAAGGGAAUGUUUUUAACACCCUGUAUUGUGACCAACACUUACCACAGAGAUGCUUGCCACAACCAUUCGCUGCAUGGGAAAGAGGGUGGAUGAAUGUAAACUCUCCAUCCUUCCCAAAGUAUUGAACAGCAGUACGUAGGUUACAUGAAAGUUUACAGUGCCUGAGGGAAGCAAGGAAACAUACAAUAUUCAUGAGAGAGAGAGGCUUCUUUAGAAGAUGGUUCAGAACAAAAGCCAUAAUCUGGGUGUUCUUGAUUUUUUCCUCCAGUACAGUUUAUCUCCUAUCAACAACAACGGUAGCCUAACAAGUCUGUUCUUUGAAGGCUAAACUUAACUUCUCUCCCUUCCCUCACUUGGUGUCCAAUGUGAUUUUCUUGGUUCUUCAGGCCAUGGAAGGAAAUGGAUUUUGGGUCUUAUCUGAUGAGUUUGGAUUAUAUAUGAAAAAGUGGUGAGAUCAACUUGCCACAACAGGAUCCCUAUCACCCUGCCAUCAAUGUGUCAGAUGAAAAGUUUGUUUGGACCCGUGUUGUGAUUUCAGUUAAAGGUUUGUCUGCUGUAAUAAUGACAUAGGAGAAUGUUUGCUGAAAUGUGCUGUAUCCGAGUCUGUAGCUUGGGCCUUUGCAGUCAUCAGAACACCUAAAAAAGUUGACGACUGCUGAAGCUGCAUUGAAAUGAGGUACAUAAUUCACAAAGAAGAUGUCAGAAAAGCUAUUUUCCAGCAUUACCCACUUCAGGUACUGCCUAAAAUUCCUUUGGCAUGGCCCUGGCUGCCCUUGAAGUUGCCACCAGCCCCAUGCAGAAGUGCCCGAAGGUUGGGUGAGAGGACACUCUUCUCACUGGACUUCUGCCGGGUUGUGGGAGUGAGGAGCUUCUCCUUGAAAUGCCUCUCCCAUCCAAAGCCAACCUCCUAUUUGCACUCAGUGACCAGAUCCUGACCACCUGAUUGCUAAAGCAAUGUCAACAUUACCUUUUGCCUAACAGCAUCCAGCCAGAAAAUGAGAAGGAGAAACUCCAGGCUCUCUGCAGGCACUGCCUUUCCCUUCCCCUGGGAGCAUGGCAGCUCCUACUGCAGUGUAUGCUGAGAAGAGAGUCCUUGCAUUAAACCCAGAUGUCACUGCUGCUGGAAACACAAGAGUCUGCUGUCAAAGGCAAAGCAGAAAGUUCAACUUUGCCACUUACCAAAUGAGGGAGACCUGGGCUCCUGGAUCAGGAAAACACGCCCCUCUACCUAUUAAUGCUAGCUACAGAUCUAGCCUUGGAAUAACUGCUUUGUCUCAUGAAGGCAGAAAAAUAUUAAACUGUAUAAGAGUUGUGCAUCCAUUGCUCAGGAAAGUGCAGCUACCCUGUAAUCAGAAAUGUUUGGUAAGGGAAGUAAUACUUAUGCACCAUAUACUUUAAAAUAUCCAGUUAAUUCAAAUGCUGUUUGGAUUUAAGAGAAUGAGUAGGUUUCAAGGCUGCUCUUAUAUAGACAAGGUUUCCUUCUACAGAAUUCUGUUGUAUUGCAUGUAAAUUAACUUCAUUGUUUCAUGCAGUUUAGAAUGCUUUCCUUUCCCAUCAAACUUUCAAGAUGUUGAUGAUUCUGUUCAUCCCUUGUCUGGGCAAUAUGUUGAAAUUUCAGAAUGGUUGAAAGCUUAACUAUUGUUUUGACAUGAGUUGCUCUUUUUGAUCAUUUCUAAAUACAUCAUUUCAUUAAUAAAUGUGUAUUAUUUCAGCUAUACUGCCUUACAUUUUAAGAUUAAAGCUUUG